This 1343-nucleotide long non-coding RNA is filed under the name Equus asinus (donkey). RNAcentral describes it as "lncRNA (ENSEASG00005032883.1)". Lineage: Eukaryota; Metazoa; Chordata; Mammalia; Perissodactyla; Equidae. The record is from RNAcentral.
ACUGUGGUAAAGAAGCAACUACUGGGUGUGCUUCAAUAUGUGGUGUUGAAGUGGGUGCAAACGCUCUUGUUAACAGCCUGAGGUGGAAGGUAUCAGAGCAGCAGUGGCAGAGCUUUGAAGAUACAUGGCUGGGACCUGGAUGUACCUUAACAGAAGUCUGUCUGUGUUAUGGACCGAUAAUGGGGAAACGAAGUACUCUAUGGCAAACCAUAUUGAGCAAAAGCUUUCUUACCUCUGCUCUGGGAAGUAGUCCCACACCUCCUGGAAGCUAUGGGAAAAUGAUUUCUGCUAUCAAAUAUAGUUGGUUGAAGCACCUUCAUGGCCAUGCCUGUCAGUAGGGUGAGGGAGCAUUUGCAUCUACUCUAAUGGGAAGCACCUGCAAAGUUACAUGGCAAGAGACGUGGAUUACAUGUUUGUUACUGGAAGAGAUAAAAGAAUUUGGAACGGUAAAUGUUUCUCAGGUGGCUUCUCAAGAACUUUAUGAAUAGAGGCAAGACAGGAUGGUGCAAGAGGUUCAUUGAAAAUAGAGGGCCUCCACCCUGGCUGUAUUAUCACCUAUUUUAGUUUCUUAUGGCUGCCAAACAAAGUGCCAUGAACUGUGUGGCCUAAACAACAAAGUUACUGUCUCACAGUUCGGGAGGCCGGAAGUCCAAAAUCAAGGUGUCCGUAGGGCCAUGCGCCCUCUGAAUGCUUCCUUGACUCCUCCUGGCUUCUGAUGGUUUGUUGGCAGUCGCUGACAUUCCUUGGCUUUUAGGUGCAUAAAUCCAGUCUGUCUUUGUCAUGUGGCAUUCUCCCUGUGUCUGUCUUCAUGUGGCCAUCAUCUUACAAGGAUGCCACUCACAUUGGAUUAGGGACCCACCCUGCUCCAGUAUGACCCAAUCUUAAUUAAUUCUAUCUGAAAUAACUCUAUUGCAAAUAAGGUCAAUUGUAAGGUACCCAGAGAUAGGACUUCUACAUAUCUUUUUGACGUUAUUUUUUGUUGGAGGCACAACUCAAUCUAUAACUUUAUCAAUGUGAGAUUCUCAUGCCUAGCAGUGUGCCAAAUGUUAUAAAGAAAAUAAAGAUGUCAUUACAUCAUAACUUUUUCUGCUUAUUACCAAUAGACCUGAGCAAGUGAAUGUUUCUUUGUAUAUGUGGGUGAAGAAUUAUUUAUGUAUAUAUGUAUUCUCACUAAAAAUACAGAUUUUAAAAAAACAAUUGAAUCUACCUAAAUUUUUAUACUAAGGGAGUCUGAGAAGGGGAUACUUUAUUCCACAAAAAUGUUUUUUUUUUUUAAAGAUUGGCACCUGAGCUAACAUCUGUUGCCAAUCUUUUCUUCUGCUCCUCCCCAAAGCCCCAGAGUA